AGCGAGUCGGAAGGUAGCCACGUCUCCUUCUGAAGAGGGACGCGCACUUUGCCCACUGCACCGGUACAAACAAAAAGGGAAUAAAGAGCGGUCGAAGUUUUCACUCUCUCACGCAGGCACAUACAUACACACACAAAGAGAAGAGCGGUGCUCUUCGACUCUCUUGUUCGGGGUUUCCCGCGUCGCUUCAGAGAUCAGUGUAGGGCAUUAUAGAGAAACGCCGCGUUGCCUCUGCCCUCUGACUCGACUGCGCGUUCUCAUCUUCGCGCAUUUUAUUUUUCUUUAUGAAGAAGUAAGCCGGGUGCAAGCAUCUACGCAUCUGUUGCACACUUCUCUUCUUGACUCUUGCAUUUUGCUCCUGCUGGUGAUCGUUCACCUACCUUCCCCCCCCAGUGAGCAUCGCAGGUGAUACCAUUGUUCUCAAAAGAAGCAGCGUGAUGAGCUCCAGCAACAAUGCCGAUGAUUGGGGGCUGCUAAGUGUGGCGGACAUCAUCGACAGCGUUGUCUCCACCGAUGAUCACGAGGCCGAAGGAUCGACUGACGUUCCCUUCGCGGCCUCUGAUGAGGCCAGCGUGCCGAGUUUUCUUUUGGAGGCACCGCUGGCGGAAAACCUGCAGCGCAGCCUUCUUUCUGGUCUCAAGAAGCGCCUUUACGCCCACUCAACGCGCAUCGAGCGUGUGUUUGAAGUUCGUUUUCGGAAAGUCAAGCUGUCUUUGUCGUCAUCGAAGAAAAUUCGUGACCGAUUGAGUGAGGCUAUUGUGUCGAUGGGCGCUUCCCUUCCCGCACAAGAGGAGCACACAAGUUUGCUAAGCACCAUCGCACUGCUCGGUGCCGUCACAGAUUGUGAUGAGAAGGGCGCAUACACGUCAGUGCUACUCGACAGCGUCGCGCAUGUGAACUGGGAUAUUGCGUCGCCACAAUCGUGCCUGGAGCUCUUUCGCAUCGUUGAAGCACACGCCAGCGAGGAUGAAUUGAGUGAUGAAUUGCGUGUGGCGGUCGCGCGUACAAAACUUGGCUUGGCGCUGCGCAGCGGCUGUCUGUCCCUGUUACUGAAGUGCCUAGUUGCACCUUCCGCCCUUCUCACUCUAGACCCUGCCGUGUUUCCGCCCAAGUCAUCGUCGCAGUGCGUCCGUGUCUCUACGGCGACCAUGUCUGAUUUCCUUGUCAAGACGCUCGUGCUGCCCGCUCAGUUCCGGCCGAAGGACUCGUUGCAAUGCUCGGCACACGGCCGCACUCUUCUCCUUCUGGGUGACACGCAUGUUGCCCGCUACGAGGCCUUGGGUACGAUGGGUACGCGUCUCAUCCAGCGCAGCGUGCAGCAGCUUCCGGGCCAGCGCGGGGAUGUUGUUCUACACCUCAACGAAGCUGUUGCUCUGUGCAUACGAGCUCUUGGGCGAGAUGAGCACUUCUGGCACUUUUCCGUUUGCCGAGAGGGUCUGGAUGGAGAGAGUCAUGGCCGUCUAACGCUGCGCACAACCGGCCUCCCGCUAGCGGAGGUGCGCUUCCACUUCUGUGUGACGGGGACGGACACGCUGUGCUGUCUUGUUUCGUCGCAUCCUCCCCAGCGCACGCGCGGUUGUCUCUACGUGGGCGAGACCUCUGUCGAGGCGCUCCUCGGCACUGCGUCGACAAUAACGCUUGCCCCACUUUUCCGCAAUCCAUCGCUUAAUGCGGCGUCAAGACGUCGCACUGCCUUCCACUUUACCAAGUCCGUUUCAGUCGCGGUGGGGCGUGUGACUCUCAAGGACAGGUUUCACCCCUUCUGCAUUGAGAUGUGGGUGUUUCCGCGAAGCGUGGCGAAGGACCAGAUUUUCCUUUCCAUAGGUGACAAGAGUGUUGAGGAGGUGCUUCUCGGGCUGGAGCCUGUCGGCGACGGGGUUCGAUGGCGUGGCGGUGCUCGCACACCGCGCUUAGGACCGUCUUUUGCGAUGUACAACUCCGCUGGCAAGCUGUCCGUGCUGGAACGGUGGUGGCAUGUCGCUCUCAACUUCAACGGGGCGGCGUGGGAGCUUUGGCUUGAUCACGAGCUGGUCAGUCGGCAGCCAGCCCUUGUUUCACCCAACGCCAUUGCAAACGCCAAGUGCGUCGUGGGCAAGAGCUUCAUCGGAUUGGCAGCGGAGGUGCGCGUUUGGCAGCACACUCGCACAGCCGCGGAGCUCGCGCGAGAUGCGCGGAGACCGCUGCUGGGCAACGAGGACGGCCUCUGUGCGUACUUCCCACUCGACGAAGGAUACGGCAAUGUGAUCAUGGACUACGCACCGCACCACGAACACGCUCUCUUGCCCUACGGUGAGCCAUAUUGGUGCGCAGUGGGUUCAUUUCCAGUCCUUGGGGAUUCCCUCGACAGUCGGCAGGUGCUUGAUUUUGUGCCACAGGCCUGGAUCGAGGAGGCGGACGAGGUCUUCUUCGCGGCAUCGCGGGAGUCGUACACCAUCGCCGGCGUGCGCUCUGACCACACGCUGUGCGUGUUCGACUACGCGCGUGACCGGCGGUGCCUUGUAGCGCAGCGUAGCGUCGAGCUUCCAGUCUCUUGGUGUGUCAAGGGCGUCUCUGCGGACCCCGCACGAAAAUCCUUGUGUUGCUGCGCUGUCGCGGUGCCUUUGAGCGGUGCUGCCGCUGCUGCCACCACUAGCGCCGCUCCGCAGGUGUUUCUGUGGGAGAUGUGGGCGUAUGCGGGCCACACUGAAGCUGCUCCACAUGUGCCGUACGACACCUCGUGGCAAUGCGGAAAAGCCGUCCUGGAGCGCAGCGCCGCACACGCGCAGCGGAUUCUGUGGUCUGCGCAGUACUUGACAGAUCAAUCCACCUGGGCCUCAGUCGUUCCGCCUUUUGUACUUGACCCUGACGAUGCCGUGCUAACCCUGCUCCUUGGGGUGGCUCAGCAGGCUGAUUCGGCACAGACUUCGCAGGGUGACCGCGAUCUAGUGCAGCAGGCCUGCACUCUGCUUCAGGUGAAUCUGCUCGCGCGGCUGUACAGCUCACCGCUCGACUUUGCCCUUCGCGUGGGCGGGUGCUACGACUCAGUGGAGCAGCUGUUGCGGGCAGCGGUGGAGGGUGAGGAGACGGAUCGCUCUGUGGUGACCACGCCAACGUCGCAUCUGCGCGAAUCCAUCAUACGGUUUGCGCUUCGCUGCACUUGUUUGGAUGCCCCGUCUUCCUCCGCACUCCUUCGAUGCUGCUGCCAGUGUUUCCUGACAGAGGGCGGCCGGCUGCUGUUCCUGGAGGCACAAUCGGGCAAGUUGCGAGCGCCUGCGGCAGAGACGGUCUACUGCUGCCUGCUGACGCUGUAUAGCUCUCUGCACACGUGCUGCGAUCUGCUCUCCUCACAACCCGCCUGUCAGCUGUCCUCUCUAUUCUCUGCCCUAUAUAUGGAGGCCAUGUACCAAGUGGACCGCUCGCUGCGCGUGAAGAGCGUCGACGGCCUGCUGCGGACAAGCCACUGCUUGGAGGUUUUGGCGGAGGUGCUUCUUUCGGGUUGUGGUAUGGACGGGGAUGCGGCGCGGCUGGAGACUUUGCAGUGCGUUUACAGCACCGCGCUCUUGCGGUGCUGCGAGAAAAUGGUCGACGCUGUGUCGACGGCGUUGCGCCAGCUGCCCGAAGCGGAAGCGACGUUUCUCAAGUGCGUGCAGCUCAGCCCGAUUGGAGCACUGCUCGCCUCGUUCGCUGUAUCCCUUCCACUGCUCCCGACAUCCGCACUUGCUGCGUGCUCGGUGUCGUUGCAAAAGUGCCGAGAGUCCCUCCUCGUGCUGAUCGACCGUUUUCCCGGCGAGGAGGCGAAGCGCUGGGCCUCGCGUCUGUGCGUCGCCCUCACCUACUCGCUCGCCCAGCUAGGGUGCACGUUGCUCAACCCCCUCCCCUCCUCACAGGACGCGGUGCCAGUAGCGGCGGCGGCGGCGGCAGCGUCUACCGCACAAGGUGGGCAGCAAACAGCUGCGGCGUCGCCAAGACCGCCGUACCUGAGCGUGCUGCGUAACGGUCAGCGCCGCCUGAAUACAGAGCGCGACGCUCUCAUCAAGAAUCUUCAAGGCGGCGUCGGUGUGCUUAGCCGUGUGUUUGAGGAGCUGCAGAUGAAGGACGUCUCGGCGUUACGUGUAGUGCGUGAUGAGCAGCUGCGCGAAACGGAGCGGCAGGUGAUGGCUGCCUGCUGUGCACUGCUACUGCCGACGCAGGCGUUGCGUGAGGCCACUCCCGAGAGCCUUCUCCCUGCGUUCCAGCUGGUGCUCAAGCUGCGGCCGUGGUGUCUGUCGAAGCGGCAGGAGUCGAAGGAGUACGUUACUAAGAUGCGGGAGCGCGCUGUUUUUCUGGCCUUGUUCGAGCCGAUCGCUGAGGUGGGCGACGACGAGGUCGGCACGGGGCAGGCGGGAGCGACUUCUUCCUCUGCCUCGUCGAGGACCCGCGCCAGCAGCGCAUCUAAUUCGCAUGCUGCACAAUUGACGCAGCGGCAGAAGUGGCGGCGGCUCUUCAAGAGCUGGAAGGCCAUGCGGCAACUUAAGGCGCUCAUGUCGUCGCGUGAGGAAGCGGCAGACCUGAACGUCGGCGCCGAGAUCAUUGCCUGCUUCCAAAGUGAGAUGAGUACGUCAGAGAUGGAGAGCGCCGUGGCGUGGCGUUCGAAGAAGGCGCAGUAUCGCCUUGUUGGCCUCCAGCUUCUGUGGCAGCUCACCGAGGAGGCGCGGCACAGUGCGCUGCUUGCGCGUGUGCUGCACCCUGUCAUUGCGCGGACCCUGUGCGGCUGGCACUACGCUGACGGCGUCGAUGGAUGCUCAGUGGAGCAGCUCACUCGACUGCAAAGCGCCUUCUUUCUGCUUCUUGAGGCGGCUGUGAAGGCGUACGAGGAGGUGGGGAAGCAGGCGCAGCCGUGGGUGCUGCUGUUGGCUGCCCUUUUUUCCUGUCCGUUCCGACGCACAGAUUUGCGCAAGUUGCGAACCACCAGUGCCUCCGCCGAGGUGAUGCGCCGUCUCUGGACUGCUGACGGGUCCCCGGAGCUGCUGUAUGAGCGAGUGAACGGCUCUCUGCCGCGGGCGCUGCGGGCCACGAAACUCUCUCCGAUCGGGUGUGCCUCCACCAUGACGGUCGGGGCUGCCGGCCUGACGCUGCGCUCCUCCGGCGGCCGCGGCAGCUGCGUCGCGCCAUGCACCUGGACGAAGUCGGUACGCAAGGAAGCAGCAUCGUACUACUACGAGGUUCACGUGGUGGAUCUGUACCAGGGCGGGUACGUGAGCGUUGGUCUGGGGCCGGCGGACUACAGCCUCUCGCAGAUGCCAGGCUGGAACCCAGACUCAUUCGCGUACGACGGACUGGAAGGGGCCGUAUACAACAACCGCAACGCGCGCGUAAUCGGCUCUACCUUCGGUAUGGGUGACGUUGUCGGCUGUGGUUGGGACCGCGAGGCGGGCGACAUUUUCUGGACCCGUAACGGCAAGUCUGUUCACUCCGUCAAGGCUCUGGUGACGUCGGAGCAGCUCAGCCCGCUCAUAGGCAUGAAGGGAAAAGGCUGUGUUCUCGUGAACUUUGGGGCUCGCCCGUUUGUUUACCAGACCUGGCCUGUAAAAGGCGCCGGAGCUUCUUCGCGCGUGGUGUCGCCAACAGAACUAGCUUCCGGCGCGCGCCACUUGGGCCCGCGUUUGGAGUUGGAGGUCUCAUGGGACGGAUGGGAUGCGUUCCGUCUCUUAUCUAUGCGCGCGGCGAAGGUGAUCGGCGAGGCUGCGUCUCAGGUCGCCUUCAUUGCACCCACGUCGAUGCCAGAGCUCGCGGAAACGGUGGGGCGCUGUCUCGAUGCUCUCGUGGGCGCCUUGGCCUCCUCGGCAGAGGUGAGCCUUUCACAGCUGCCGCUUCCAGCGCGCUAUGUGACAACCUUGCUCGGCCAUUUGACACUCCUGUGCAAGUUUCUUCGCGGCGUGCCAGGAGACGUCAUCGCCAUCCACACCAGCCGCGUUGCAGCGCUGCUUGCGAAGAUGGCGACGCGGUGGCUCUUGACCACCUCACGUGUCGCCCUCUUCAGCGCUGAGGAGAGCGAGGCGGUGACGGCGCUUUUAAUGGCGUGGUACUACACGAUGUAUCUAACACCACCGACAGUUGUUCUCGUUCCCGCUCCAAAUGGCAAUCCGAGAAAGGUGGAUGCUACAAGCUCCACCACGCCGAGCUCGCGUGCGGCGCGCGCCGCGCCGGCCAAUGCCGAAACUGCCUGGCCAUCUCCUCCAUCGCUGCCCAACUUCCUUCAAGUGCUCCUUCAGUUGGCAAGCUGCAUCAUUACCACUGACGACGCGCGCAUGUCCGCCUCCGAAACUCGGCAUGUUGUGGAGAGCAGCGCAAACUUGAGCGUGGUAACUUCCUGCGACACGGCUCACUGGCUCGCGUUGUCGCUGCUGCAGCACCUCAACAACGACCGCGACGAGCGCAGCCAUCACGCAUGGCAGACGGAGUUACAGGCGUGGCUCCAGCACACGCUGAAAGCCGGCCCGCAGAUUCCUGAAGGGGAUCAGGGAAAGGGUAGUUACGACAAAACCAACACGCGUGACAUUCUGCUCGGCCUUGCCAUCCUUGGUGGCAUACCCCGACUGGCUGUACCGGGUGAUACGGUUAUGGCACAUCUCUCCACGCAUACCAUCGCACCUGUGCUGCUCCUGCACCCCUCGUGGUCGGAGGAGAUGUGCGAGGUUCUGGAGGUGCAUGCAGGCGACGCGUCAAAGGCGGCGGUGAAAGCCUCGACAACCGCGCAGCCCGCCAUGGCUACUCACGUCAUCAAGAGGCUCCCGCUGCGUUUCGUGCACGCCACCCUGGGUGGGGACGAGCCUCCCACUGACACCUUUCCCAUCAAGGGGGACAAGGCACACCUGGAGCUCGCCGAGGCGGUGGCGCAUCUGGCACAAGUGUGGUUUGUAACGGUGACGCCGGCGACACGGUCGAGUGAGGAUGUGUGUCUUGUCGCCCAGCUGUCCUGCGUGCUGGUUCGCUGUGCGGAACGCCACGUUGUGUCGGUGUCGCCGCAGCUGAUUGACUCUCUCUCGGUGCUGACCGGCAUGGCCAACGAUGUCGCGUCCAACAUGGACCAGGUUCGGUUAGAGCUCGUGCUGAGCUUGUGGGGCCUGCUUCAGUACCGGCAGCGGCGGGGGCUGCUCCGAAACUCGCUCAGCGCGAUGCGGACGGACCGCGGAAUUGGGGUUGGCAGCGACGAGAGGGAGCAGCUGGGAUCUCGAGGGAACGCAGGGUGCAGCCUCGUGCGGGUUGGCGACAGCGUCGCUUCCCCUACGGCCCCUUCAUCGAUGAGGCUGCGGACCUUUGCAGCCCUCGACUCUCUGCGUCACCAUCUGCUGGGCCCCGUCCCCGACGUGCCGGACAUGACCUACGAGGAAGAGGACGACGAGGGCAGUGACCCGGAGGACGACGGUGACUCCGAGUUCGGUACACGCUCCCCGUACCCCCUACACGGGAUGGACGACCUCGACGAGGAGGACGGCGCUGAUGACGAAGACGCAGGGCCGUCUAGGCUUGCCACCAUCGCUCUCGCGCAGACGGAGUCGCGGCUUUCGGCGUCCUCUACGCCAGAUGCCCUGUUUUUGCCAACCGAGCGAGAAAUGUUCGACACGAUUCACUUCAACGGCGGGUGUGUGCGUUUGGUGGCUGGUGCCGCGGUGGGGCUGAGCUUCACCGUGGAUCUUGCACUGCGCAUGACGAACAUAGAGCGUCAUCAAAUCCUCUUUGCGCAGAUGCUGCGCGGCGGCUCGGCUGCGACGGCGCUGGAGAUGGUGGCCCGCAUUACGAGGGGCAACUUGGAGUUUGGGUGGUUUCCGUGCUUCCCUGGCGGCGAAGCGGAGUUGGACCCUGCCGACCCGGCAACGAUUUGCUCAUUUGCCUUGUCUGAGACUGACCUCAACACGUGGAUCCGCGUCACCUUUGUGCAAUCCGGCACUACCCUGUCUCUCUUCCGUGGCGGCCUGCUGCUCGACUCCCGGCCGAUGAAGACUGGCGGUGGCUCUCUUUUGCAGGAGGAGCUGCGACUCGGGGGCAUUCCUCAGCAACUCGGCUCCAGCGCCUUCAUCGGUGACAUCAAGAACUUUCGAGUGUAUGAGCUCGCCUUGCGGCCGGCCAUGGUGGAGCAGCUGCGACGCCUGAACUCGUCUUUGUCGAUGUUUUUGGAGUCACAUCUGGCGCUGCUGCUGAAGACGACGCGAACCGGUGUCGAGAACGCGGCAAAGGCUGCCGCAUCGGUUGUGCUGGACGUCUGGACGGAGGGGGACGUGGGCUACCUUGACGAGUCCGAAGAGGCAGCCGCUCGCCACAUCCAGGCUCGCGAGGCGUGCGCGCAGGAGCUGGACUUUGGCACGGAGUCGGAAGAGACCGACCUUCGCGUACUUAGUGAGCCGUUGCCGUCGCAGCAGUCUGUGCUGUGGCACAAGAAGCGCUCCCAGUCUCGUGAGCAGCUGCUCAGCAUCUGCGCAAGUUGCUAUCACCAACUGGCAGCCUUCUACAGCGCACACAUUUUGGCCCACGCGGUGUGCUGCGUGGCGAAGUCUUCUCACGGCUUGUCCGAAUCGGAUCAGCACACCAUGCAAGUCCUCAAGGACGAUGCCUGCGUAGCGCGGUUGGCAGACUGGGCUGUUUCGACGUCAGGCAAGGAUAUGGCAACGCUGCUGGACGAGAUGUGGCUUUCUCUGUGCCGCGUGAGCAGCGACCGCACCGAGGAUGCCGCGAAAGUGAAGGUGAUGUGGGAGAUGGGGAAUGCGUUGCUGGCGGAGCUGCUCCGAAUUGCCCAGCGGCCGCCGCACGCUCGCAUAUUUGAGUCGGCGCACCCUCAGCGGCCGUUUGCCUCGAAUGUGUACGAGGUGCAAGUGGCAGGGCAGCGCUCCUACGCUGUGUUUGUGGAUGAACGGAGCGUGGCGAGCUGGCGACUUGUAACCGUCUCCGCUGACCGAACGUUGGGUGCGAUGCUAUCCGAGUUUUGCAGCACGGCACUCUCUUCGUUUGAGGUGUGCUUGCCACAGUUCUUCUUGACGGUGCGAUCGGCAGCGGAGUCGUCCAACUGGGGCCAUCGCAUCGCUGUCGUUCACGAUUACCAACCGCAGCUGCGGGCGAUGCGUAUCUUUCGAAGCGCGCUCUCCGUCUUUCUCACACUCGACUCACCGGCGAGCUCCGCGGUGGCGUACGUUUGGUCGGUGGAGUGCCUCAUGGCUCUGCGCACCGUGGCGCAGCGGAACACUAGCAAAACACGACUCCUCGCUUUCACCUGCCUCAACCACCUGCUUUUGUUCAGCCAGCGCUUCCGCACGACUCCGCCGCCGCUGUCAUUGCCGUUGCUCCUGCACGACGUUCGCCGCAUGGCCUUGCGCCACUACCGCCGUCGCCUCCCUACACAGCGCGUGCUGGGCCGCUUCAUCCAGAUGAGCAUGGAGAGCUACGUCAUGCAGCGGGAUGCAGCCCAGUGCUGGCAGGCCGCGCGAACGGCGCAAGCGCCCGAAUGCUCCCCACCAAGCAUGGUCUCUGGUGCUUAUGAUAGGGCCACUGCGGAGGGUGCACCGUUGCCGACGGACGCCAGCGCAGAGGAGAGUGCGGCCACGGUGGAUUUCCUGCGCCACCGACAAGAGCAAAUGCAGCUGUACCGCCAGCGCGACACUGCCGCAGACCGAGUGAGCAUCCAGAAGGUUCGCAACCCACAGAGUCUCUCGCUCGAAUGGAGCGGCGACGGGGUGUGCAUUUUGCGGAGCGAUGGCACGGGAGGCUCAGUGGUGGCGGGGGUGCCGCUCACGGCUGGUAGAUGGUACUACGAGCUGCGAAUCGGCGGAACAGGCGACCUUUCAGUUGGUGUGUUGCCUAUCCCGUCCUCUGUCUUCGCUGACCAGGAGACGCCGCUGCCGCUGACGAGCGCUGCAAUGCAGGGGCGCGAUCCAGUCACCUUCAACGGCUGCACUGGUGCGUUUCACUGUGCGGAGCAGCAGCAACCGCCUUUGCAGCAGAGACCGCUAAGCACGCCGCUGUGGUUCAGCAGGGACUAUCUGGGAAUCGUCAUUGACAUACCGGCGCAGCGGUGCACGAUUCUCGUGAACGGGGUCCAGGCGGUGAGCUUCACUUUUGGGCCAGAGGCCGCCCCCAGCGAAGGCGCCGCUGCUGCCUCCCCCUCACCUUCUUCCACGAUACCCUCUAUCUACAACAGCGGCGAAGAUAUGGGCCCUUCCAACGGAGCGGGGGCGCGGCACGAGGGUGGUGACAGUAGCCACAGCAGUCAUCACCCUAGUCACCGCUCGGUGGAGCGCAGCUCAGCAUCAGUUGCCUACUACCCAUAUGUGUCGAUGGGGCAGGCGGACUCGGUGUCGCUCAAUUUUGGGGCGGCCUACUUCGAGCACGAGGUGCCGUCUGGCUGUUUGCCCUUGGACCCGGCCAACCUUUCUCUGGGCACGAUGUUCCCAUACAACCAGAUGCGCUCACUGCAGGACCUCGCCGCCCACCUCCUCACCGGUGGCCGGUAUCCCCUGCCACCGUUCUACUACGAGGAGGCCGACCCGUUUGCCGGUUCCACGGAGCGGGUGGGCCCGGCCCACGUGUCAGUGCAGGCCUCCGCAAACGUGCAGGUGAACAUGGAGGACGUGAAGAACACCGGUCUCGAUUUCGAGACCGUGACGGGGGACUGCGCGGUGGGGGCCGGCGCCUGGUACUUUGAGGUGACCUUGCGGACCCAGGGGCUGAUGCAGAUCGGGUGGAUGCAGAAAGGUGAGGCGCCGCACGGCAAUGGCCACGGCGUCGGAGACUCUUCCACCUCGUGGUCGGUUGACCUGUUUCGGCGCGUGAUGUGGCAUCGCGGGGUACCGGAACCGGUGAACACGCCGCGGCGAUGGGCUGCCGGGGACGUGGUGGGCUGCGCCGUGGACAUGGCCCACGGCGAACUAAGCUUCUUCCUGAACGGCCGCCCCAUCACCGGCGCCUCUGCUCUCGAGUCCCGAUCCCCUCUGACCGAGACGUGCACCUUUCGCGGCAUCCCGCAGGGGCUUUAUUACGUCCCGGCUGUGUCGCUCCGCUCUGGAGGUGCCGUGAGCUUCAACUUCGGCUCCUCGCCAUUCAAAUACAAGCCGGAGGGCUUCAGCCCGCUCGGUGUGCCGGACUCGUGGAAUGAACGGAUGGACACGUUCUACAACAACGCCUCGGCGGCGAGUACGCAGCAGCGCAUGGCAGCGAUGCAGGAGGCGUGGCGAGUGCUGCGCAGCGUGCACCCCGCGAUGGGCGCCAGCGCGACCGCUGCCGUGGCUGUCGACAGAGCUCCUUUUGCCCCACGUACGCCAGCCACUGCACCGACACCAGCGGCACGGUCAUGGUCCAUGGACACUUUUGAGAAGAACUUGCUUCCAUAUCGCCUUGUCGUCCACGCCAUCGACAACUUCUCGAGCGACGUCACGAAGUCGUUCACGAAGAACGCCGAGGAUGAGCUGGCCCACUACCUCGCCACCUUUGCGUACCCCGACAACAGCGGCGGGGUCAGCGCGGCUGCGGUGGCGGAGCGCGCGUGGGAUAUGUUCAAGGUGCUGAAAGCCGUCAGCAAAGUUGUGCACGCCCUUCUUCCGUUUCUGUCCCUCAACACCACCCACCCAACGCUCAUGACGCUUUUGUUUCUGUCGCUGCGCACGCUGCUGUUCCGCGCAGUGCGGCGAAAGCUUGUCGAGAGUGUGCUUACCGUGUCCUCAGUGCGCUCCGAGCAGUACCGCAUCUGCAUUAACCGUGCCAAGGCGCACGCGGAGAGGCAGUCGGUCAAGUCUUCUGUUUUCGGUCAAACCUUCGCGCUGCUGGGCUCCCAGUCGUCGCGCAUUUUUCAGACUCAUCAACGCUUCUGGAGCACCGUCUUCCUUGGCGAGGGCGCCGAGGACGCGGGCGGUCCGUUCCGCGAGCAUCUGAGCGAGAUGUGCCGCGAGCUCAUGUCCGGCCGUUUGCCGUUCUUUGUGCCCACCGCAAACCAUGUGCACAACACUGGAAGCCACCGCGAGGCGUACGUGCCGGCCGCUUCUGCCCGUUCCGCCUACGACCUAGAGGCGUUUGCGUUCAUUGGAAAGCUGAUGGGUGGUGCGCUGCGGAGUGAGGACCCUCUCGAUUUAUUCCUGCCGCCUCUGGUGUGGCGCUACCUGUGCGCCUACCCCAUCACAGAGGCGGAGGUGGAGCAGGUGGAUGUGAUCUGUGUGCAGUGCGUUCGUGAGUUCCGCGUCCUCAGCGCCACACACGCGGCUGCAGCGGUGGCGGACGCGGAUGAGUCAGGGGGCACCGAGACGGAGCUGUUCGAGGACGUCUUCGGUGAGGAGUUCUUCGUGACACAGCUGAGCGACCACUCGACGAAGGAAUUGAUUGAGGGAGGCGCCCAGACGCGGGUGACGUUGGCGCGCAGCAGCGAGUACGCCGAGGCGUUGCUGCAGGCGCGACUCCACGAGUUCGACUUGCAGCUGCAUAAAAUGCGAGAGGGACUGCUUUCCGUGGUGCCGGAGGUGGCCGUGUUGCUCUUGACCCCAGAGGAGUUGGAGCUGCGCGUGUGUGGGCAGGCGGACUACACGCCAGAGGAGCUGCGCAAGGGAGCCUCGUAUGAAGGGUUGGCAAGCGAGGAUCGGCGUGUGCAGCUGCUAUGGAAGGCUCUGGAGGAGGCCACGCCGCUGCAGCGGCGACUCUUCCUCCGCUUUGUGUCAGGACGCGAUCGGAUGCCGGUGAAGCUGCGCAUUCUGCCCCUCACCACGCAGGCCGAUGCCGACACGGUUCUUCCACGUGCGGCGACGUGCUUUUUCGCGAUUGAGGUGCCCGACUACAGCACACUAGAGGUGAUGAAGCGGAAGCUCUACUACAGCAUCGAGAACUGCGCUGAUAUGGACACCGACUUCAACGCUCGCGUUGUGGACGAGGACGAGGGCCCACAACUGUCCGUCGCCCUGGACGAUGGCCAGCAGGACAUCAUACCGCCCAACUCGGAGAAUGAAUAACAGGGCACAUAGAGCCUGGGCCGUUUUGUUUGCGCCGCCUCCCCUUCUCCUCCUCCUCCCUUCAGCGACCGCGAAGACGCGGGAGAGACGGCAUGUUUUGCGCUGUGACCGCCAUGCCUGUUCUCGUGUUCACGCUGGCUUUUCGCUCGUACCCGCCCCCUCUCCGUGUCCCUUUCACUCUAUGCGCCCAUCGCUCUUUGCGGCUCUUUUUGGUUGCUCCCCUUCGAGGAAACGCACUGCCACGCUGACGCGAAGAUCUUGUGGUCUCUCGCUUUUUGCAUGCGCUGUGAUGUAGACCAGCGACAGCGGACAGGGUUUUCGAAUGCGUUCAUGUGGGUUAGGCGUUUUCGAAACUUCCAGCACGGCCGCCACUCACCGUUGCCGAUGCGCUGUCACCUCGUCUCUCGGAGUGUCAGUGAGUUGAAAACUCGUUGUUUUUUCCGCGUCCUCUUUGCUUCCGUUCUCGUCAAUUUCGUUUGUUGUUGCUUUCUCGAUGGCAUCAUACGCCGACGCGCCGUGGGCCGCUCCGCUGGC
RNAcentral lists this unclassified non-coding RNA (13466 nucleotides) under Leishmania donovani. RNAcentral's name for it is "gene:LdHU3.36.8750(CDS-product:ubiquitin-protein_ ligase_putative)". Lineage: Eukaryota; Euglenozoa; Kinetoplastea; Trypanosomatida; Trypanosomatidae. The record is from RNAcentral.